AGCGGGAUAGAGCAGUCCGGCAGCUCGACGGUUUCAUACGCCGUAGGUCGGUGGUUCGAAUCCACCUCCCGCUACCA
Molecule: transfer RNA, 77 nt
Filed under: Stenotrophomonas maltophilia
Lineage: Bacteria; Pseudomonadati; Pseudomonadota; Gammaproteobacteria; Lysobacterales; Lysobacteraceae
Also listed under: 4 other names
Description: tRNA-fMet(cat)
Rfam family: tRNA
About the family: Transfer RNA (tRNA) molecules are approximately 80 nucleotides in length. Their secondary structure includes four short double-helical elements and three loops (D, anti-codon, and T loops). Further hydrogen bonds mediate the characteristic L-shaped molecular structure. tRNAs have two regions of fundamental functional importance: the anti-codon, which is responsible for specific mRNA codon recognition, and the 3' end, to which the tRNAs corresponding amino acid is attached (by aminoacyl-tRNA synthetases). tRNAs cope with the degeneracy of the genetic code in two manners: having more than one tRNA (with a specific anti-codon) for a particular amino acid; and 'wobble' base-pairing, i.e. permitting non-standard base-pairing at the 3rd anti-codon position.
Source: RNAcentral